CCUACGGGAGGCAGCAGUAGGGAAUAUUGCUCAAUGGAGGAAACCCUGAAGCAGCCAAGCCGCGUGGAGGAUGAAGGUUCUAGGAUUGUUAAACCCCUUUGUUACAGAAGUUAAUUACGUUAUCUAUCGCAUAUGCCCCGGAUAACUCCGUGCCAGCCGCCGUGGUAAUAUGGCAGGUGCCAGCGUUACUCGGAAUCCCUGGGCGUAAAGCGCGCGUAGGCGGGAUAGCAAGUCAGUUGUGAAAUCCUGUGGCUUAACCAUAGAACUGCAUUGGAAACUGUGACGCUUGAGUAUGGGAGAGGUAGGUGGAAUUCUUGGUGUAGGGGUAAAAUCCGGAGAGAUCAAGAGGAAUACUCAUUGCGAAGGCGGCCUGCUAGAACAUUACUGACGCUGAUGCGCGAAAGCGUGGGGAGCAAACAGGAUUAGAUACCCGGGUAGUC
RNAcentral lists this ribosomal RNA (440 nucleotides) under uncultured bacterium. RNAcentral's name for it is "partial 16S ribosomal RNA". It matches the Rfam family "Bacterial small subunit ribosomal RNA", at positions 338 to 795 of the family's 1533-position model. The record is from RNAcentral.